RNAcentral lists this ribosomal RNA (492 nucleotides) under uncultured bacterium. RNAcentral describes it as "partial 16S ribosomal RNA". It matches the Rfam family "Bacterial small subunit ribosomal RNA", at positions 29 to 507 of the family's 1533-position model. The record is from RNAcentral.
AGUGAACGCUGGCGGUAGGCCUAACACAUGCAAGUCGAACGGCAGCACAGUAAGAGCUUGCUCUUACGGGUGGCGAGUGGCGGACGGGUGAGGAAUACAUCGGAAUCUACUUUUUCGUGGGGGAUAACGUAGGGAAACUUACGCUAAUACCGCAUACGACCUACGGGUGAAAGCAGGGGAUCUUCGGACCUUGCGCGAUUGAAUGAGCCGAUGUCGGAUUAGCUAGUUGGCGGGGUAAAGGCCCACCAAGGCGACGAUCCGUAGCUGGUCUGAGAGGAUGAUCGGCCACACUGGAACUGAGACACGGUCCAGACUCCUACGGGAGGCAGCAGUGGGGAAUAUUGGACAAUGGGGGCAAGCCUGAUCCAGCCAUACCGCGUGGGUGGAGAAGGCCUUCGGGUUGUAAAGCCCUUUUGUUGGGAAAGAAAAGCAGCAGGUUAAUACCCCGCUGUUCUGACGGUACCCAAAGAAUAAGCACCGGCUAACUUCGUG